Long non-coding RNA from Herpailurus yagouaroundi (jaguarundi), 631 nucleotides. RefSeq lists it as uncharacterized. The record is from RefSeq and is a predicted model, not a curated record. The transcript has 2 exons. NCBI's taxonomy places the organism in Eukaryota, Metazoa, Chordata, Mammalia, Carnivora, Felidae.
AUUUCUAAUCAAAACUUUCCUACAAGGAAAACUCCAGAGCCAGAUGGCUACUCUAGUAAAUUUUAUCAGACUUUUAAAGAAGAUAAAAGUAUUAAUCCUAUACAUUUCAGACAGCAGAGCAGGAAUGAACACUUUGAAACUCAUUUUAUGAAGCCAAUAUAAUCCUGGUAUCAAAACUUGACCAGGAAAUUUUACAAGAAAAUUACAAACCAAUACCGUUCAUGAAUAUAGAUUUUUAAAUUCUUAAUGAAAUAUUGCAAAUUAAACCUUGCAGUAUAAAGGAUAAGAUGCCAUGGCCAAGGAAGGUGAGGUUAAACAUUGAAAAGUUAGUGUAGUUCACCACAUUAAUAGAAUGAAAGAGAAAAACAAAAUGAUAGUCUCAGUAGAUGCAGAAAAAGCAUCUGAUAAAAUUCAAAAUGCAUUCAUGUCAAAAACCUUCAGCAAGUUAAGUAUAGAAAGGAACUUUCUCAAUAUAACAAUCAUCUUUGAAAAAUGUAAUAGUGAAACACUAAAUCUUUUUCCCCUAAGGUCAGGAGUAACAGAAGACAAGAAUGUGUGCUCUCACCACUUCUAUUCAGGGUUAUGUUGAAGGUCCUAAUCAAUGUAAUAAAACAAUAACAAAAUGCAUCAA